GGGGGUGACUUGAUUCGACAAUACGUCAUGCUGACCGCAUGCGAACCGGUGAAUGCUGGAGAUCACCUUAAACCUCGAGCGCCAAACGUGUGAGAACGUUUGUACCGAGCCCUUACGCUUUCGCUACGGUGAACGCGUAAUCUCGAUCGUCCCCGCCUUGUGCCGGGACGACGCCACAAUUCUGACGUUCGAUAAGAAACCUGUGGUGUCAUAACAUCGGACUCUAACUCUCCGCCUGCUCACCGGGGAGUUGAACUUACCGAGCUCGUCCGUACGCGCUUUCGUCACCUUUAUAGCGUGCGGAUCAAAUACAAAAGCUGACUACGGUUCGUAGAUUGCUUCAAAGUGGCGCAUUGGACGGGAGCUCACUACUCCCCACCUCCACUA
This 387-nucleotide transfer-messenger RNA is filed under the name Candidatus Kaiserbacteria bacterium. It matches the Rfam family "transfer-messenger RNA". From Rfam's summary of the family: Bacterial tmRNA, also known as 10Sa RNA or SsrA, is named for its dual tRNA and mRNA-like properties. Its role is to liberate the mRNA from a stalled ribosome. To accomplish this part of the tmRNA is used as a reading frame that ends in a translation stop signal. Lineage: Bacteria; Candidatus Kaiseribacteriota. The record is from RNAcentral.